This 551-nucleotide ribosomal RNA is filed under the name Bayadera indica. RNAcentral's name for it is "partial 16S rRNA". It matches the Rfam family "Bacterial large subunit ribosomal RNA", at positions 1839 to 2649 of the family's 2925-position model. Lineage: Eukaryota; Metazoa; Arthropoda; Insecta; Odonata; Euphaeidae. The record is from RNAcentral.
GGGCUUUUUGAGAGUCUGACCUGCCCGGUGAUUAUUUUAACGGCCGCGGUAUAUUGACCGUGCAAAGGUAGCAUAAUCAUUAGUCUUUUAAAAGGAGGCUGGAAUGAAAGGUUUGACGAGAUACUAUCUGUCUCAGCUGCAAUUAUUAAAAUUUAACUUUUAAGUUAAAAGGCUUAAAUUUUAUUGAUAGACGAGAAGACCCUAUAGAGCUUUAUAAUUAUUUUUUUAUGAUUUUUAUAAAAAGAUUUUAUAAUUUUAAUUAUUUUGUUGGGGUGACAAAAAAACAAGUUUAACUUUUUUAUUUAUUAAUCAUUUAUUUAUGUUAAAAAGAUCCAGUAUUAUUGAUUUUUAGAUUAAGUUACCUUAGGGAUAACAGCGUAAUCUUCUUUUGGAGUUCUAAUUUACAAGAAGGAUUGCGACCUCGAUGUUGGAUUAAGAUUAUAUUUGGGUGCAGUAGCUCAUAAAUAUAGGUCUGUUCGACCUUUAAAUUCUUACAUGAUCUGAGUCAAAACCGGGAGAAGGUUAUUUAGGUAGAUAUUAUUACUUUUAUU